Medicago truncatula (barrel medic) is the source of this 518-nucleotide long non-coding RNA. RefSeq lists it as uncharacterized. The transcript is spliced from 2 exons. Lineage: Eukaryota; Viridiplantae; Streptophyta; Magnoliopsida; Fabales; Fabaceae. The record is from RefSeq and is a predicted model, not a curated record.
ACGCACUAUAUACUUAUAAGUGCAAUCUCACCUUUGAACCCUUAACCAUCUUCCCAAAAUAAAAGACAUGAAAAUCCUCAUUUGUUUUUCCAUUCUUUUGCUUGUUUUUUCUAUGAACGUUGGAAAUCAAAUGACGAUGCCCGAGGCAAAACAGUGUGAACUCUAUGCACCUCACUUCUGUCGUAAAUGGUUGGUUUUGAUUUGCAACACAUUUUGCAAGUUUAAAUGCAAAAGUAUACAUGCAAAAGGAAAAUGUUUUGAUGACGAAUCAUGUCAUUGCUAUUGUUGUUAAACUAUUGUUAUUUUAUAUAUACUCACGUUUGAAGGUUCCAUCUUUCAAAUGUGUAAUAUGGUGAACUAAUAAAUAAAGUGGUUGGUUGUAUAUUUUUCUCUGUUUUAGUAUUUAUAUGGUUUUAUGCUCGUGUUGAAUCUUGCUAGCCAAAAAGACUUUUUCUGCAAAUCAAAUUGUAUCUUCUUCACUCAACAAUAUCAAUCGAUGGAGCACCUUUCUAUUGUUU